GCCAGCCUGGUGUAGUGGUUUGAGUGCUGGACUAUGACUCUGGAGACCAGUGAUCGAAUCCUGGCUUGGCC
Phrynosoma platyrhinos (Desert horned lizard) is the source of this 71-nucleotide non-coding RNA. The record is from the annotation of a GenBank genome assembly. NCBI's taxonomy places the organism in Eukaryota, Metazoa, Chordata, Lepidosauria, Squamata, Phrynosomatidae.